AACGAACGCUGGCGGCAUGCCUAACACAUGCAAGUCGAACGGGAUCCUAGCUUGCUAGGUGAGAGUGGCGGACGGGUGAGUAACACGUGGGAAUCUGCCUUUUGGUUCGGGAUAACCGCGGGAAACUGCGGCUAAUACCGAAUGCCCUCGAGAGAGGAAAGAUUUAUCGCCAGAAGAGGAGCCCGCGUCCGAUUAGGUAGUUGGUGGGGUAAAGGCCUACCAAGCCGACGAUCGGUAGCUGGUCUGAGAGGAUGAUCAGCCACACUGGGACUGAGAUACGGCCCAGACUCCUACGGGAGGCAGCAGUGGGGAAUAUUGGACAAAUGGGGGCAACCCUGAUCCAGCAAUGCCGCGUGAGUGAUGAAGGCCUUAGGGUUGUAAAGCUCUUUUGCCAGGGAAGAUGAUGACUGUACCUGGAGAAUAAGCCCCGGCUAACCUUCGUGCCAGCAGCCACGGUAAU
Molecule: ribosomal RNA, 460 nt
Filed under: uncultured bacterium
Lineage: Bacteria
Description: bacterial SSU rRNA
Rfam family: Bacterial small subunit ribosomal RNA
Source: RNAcentral